UGGGGAGUCGUCAAGUGGUUAAGACACUGGGUUUUGAUCCCAGUAUGCGUAGGUUCGAAUCCUACCUCCCCAGCCA
RNAcentral lists this transfer RNA (76 nucleotides) under Snodgrassella alvi. RNAcentral describes it as "tRNA-Gln". It matches the Rfam family "tRNA". Rfam says of the family: Transfer RNA (tRNA) molecules are approximately 80 nucleotides in length. Their secondary structure includes four short double-helical elements and three loops (D, anti-codon, and T loops). Further hydrogen bonds mediate the characteristic L-shaped molecular structure. tRNAs have two regions of fundamental functional importance: the anti-codon, which is responsible for specific mRNA codon recognition, and the 3' end, to which the tRNAs corresponding amino acid is attached (by aminoacyl-tRNA synthetases). tRNAs cope with the degeneracy of the genetic code in two manners: having more than one tRNA (with a specific anti-codon) for a particular amino acid; and 'wobble' base-pairing, i.e. permitting non-standard base-pairing at the 3rd anti-codon position. The record is from RNAcentral. Lineage: Bacteria; Pseudomonadati; Pseudomonadota; Betaproteobacteria; Neisseriales; Neisseriaceae. RNAcentral also lists the same sequence under 27 other names.